AACGAACGCUGGCGGCAUGCCUAACACAUGCAAGUCGAACGAACCCUUCGGGGUUAGUGGCGCACGGGUGCGUAACGCGUGGGAAUCUGCCCUUUGCUUCGGAAUAACUCAGGGAAACUUGUGCUAAUACCGGAUGAUGUCUUCGGACCAAAGAUUUAUCGGCAAGGGAUGAGCCCGCGUAGGAUUAGGUAGUUGGUGGGGUAAAGGCCUACCAAGCCGACGAUCCUUAGCUGGUCUGAGAGGAUGAUCAGCCACACUGGGACUGAGACACGGCCCAGACUCCUACGGGAGGCAGCAGUGGGGAAUAGUGGACAAUGGGCGCAAGCCUGAUCCAGCAAUGCCGCGUGAGUGAUGAAGGCCCUCGGGUCGUAAAGCUCUUUUACCAGGGAUGAUAAUGACAGUACCUGGAGAAUAAGCUCCGGCUAACUCCGUG
RNAcentral lists this ribosomal RNA (433 nucleotides) under uncultured bacterium. RNAcentral's name for it is "partial 16S ribosomal RNA". It matches the Rfam family "Bacterial small subunit ribosomal RNA", at positions 29 to 507 of the family's 1533-position model. The record is from RNAcentral.